CUUCCUCAGGAGGAAAAGAAAAACGCAGAUUCUGAUUCAAUAGGUCUGGGUAGGCCCAAGAUUCUGCUUUUCUAACAAGCUCCCAGGUGGUGCCAAUGCUGCUGGUCUCAGGACUUUGAGCAGCAAGGGGCUGAAUUACAAAAGCAAAAAGCUCUGGAUCACAGUCUAGUUAAAACAAAAACACAGAGAGGGAGGAAGCUGCUCCUGAUACCAGAGAGAGAUUGCAACGGAGCAUCGCUUUCCCUGUGAGCUUUCCGAAAACCGUGGCAAGAAAGGAAAGAAGCGCUUACCAACUCUUACGCCAUGAUAGAAGAGACAACUGCAGGCAUGGAGAGAAAGCCCUUCCCCGGUCUGGCUGCCCAGGAAACUGAUGAAGCGGACCUUAUUCUCAGGAGAGUGGAGAAGCAGGCUGUUUUAGGGGUACUGCCAGCCUUUCUAUGAGAAGCACUGAGCCUGGGCACCUCAGUGGGGUGCAUCUGUGAUGGAGAGUCACGGUUUAGACCCCACUGCCCCUGGUGCCCCACCUGGGCCAGCGCCAUGGUCAGCGCCCAUAGGAGACCAUCCUUCUCCCACUUUUUGGCUCAGACACUAGCUGGCUUAACCAUCCCUGACAACAGAGUGGAAACCUGGACUCAGAUGCUUCACCAUGCAGCACCCCGCAAGGUGUUCAGGGGAGGGCAGCUGAGGCCCAGGCCUGAGCCUCAGGAAGGGCAUCCUUUGUGACAACAAGGACGUGCAGGACCCUGAUGAUUUCCCAGAGAAGGAAAUGGAAAAUUCUCAGAUAAAAAAAGCCAAGGUCCGGGAGAGCCAGGAUCCCUGACAACAGCAGACACGGUGGAGGAUGAACGGGCCUCGGACCAGGGGCUGGGAGCUCUCUGUCCGCUCUCCCACCUGAGAGAGUCCUGGUCCUCGGGAGAUGAGCAGUUUCCACAAUGCCCAUAGAUACCCCAAAUGGCCAGAGCUGGGGGUCCCAGACUCAGAACACAGAGGGGCACUGAGAACCCCCAGGGGCAAAGGCCCUUCCCAAGGCCACCGAGGGACUGAGAGCCAUCCUGCCAGCCUGCCUGGCCGUCUUCCAUAUGCGCUUGGAGGUGGCCAGACCCAAGGGAGCCAGACGGUCCCGUCCAGCUGGCCCAAGGUCACCAACAGCUUCGAAAACAAUAGGCAGUGGGUCCAGCCGUGGCUGGGGCCAGAACAAAGGCCUAGGCACUUCCUCGAAUUGAGGCCCCCUCCUUCAUGGUUUGCCAAGGCCGGGGACGAAGGAAACCUUCAUCGGGAGGUAGGGAUGUUUUGCAAAA
This 1298-nucleotide long non-coding RNA is filed under the name Equus caballus (horse). RNAcentral describes it as "lncRNA (ENSECAG00000048716.1)". Lineage: Eukaryota; Metazoa; Chordata; Mammalia; Perissodactyla; Equidae. The record is from RNAcentral.